RNAcentral lists this long non-coding RNA (259 nucleotides) under Prunus dulcis (almond). RNAcentral's name for it is "sRNA ncRNA". Lineage: Eukaryota; Viridiplantae; Streptophyta; Magnoliopsida; Rosales; Rosaceae. The record is from RNAcentral.
GUGAAUCUCCCAAUCCUUAAUUGAAGUAUAAAAGGGAAAAGAAAAAAAAAAUCCAAAAAAUCGAUUGAAUAAUUAAGUGUUAGUUAUUUUAUUAUCAAGUCAUUCUCUUUCUUUGGAUUAAUAAAAAAGAAAUUGUAUUAGUCACAAUUUUUGUUGUCAAUCGGUUUCUCAAUGAAAUCAUCUUUCACUAUUUCUCCUUCCUUUUUCAAAAUUCGAAUCCUCCUCUAAUUAAAAUAAGUAAAUCACCUCCUUUCUGAUC